UACGUAGGGUCCGAGCGUUGUCCGGAAUUAUUGGGCGUAAAGGGCUCGUAGGCGGUUUGUUGCGUCGGGAGUGAAAACCAGGUGCUUAACACCUGGCCUGCUUUCGAUACGGGCAGACUAGAGGCAUUCAGGGGAGAACGGAAUUCCUGGUGUAGCGGUGAAAUGCGCAGAUAUCAGGAGGAACACCGGUGGCGAAGGCGGUUCUCUGGGAAUGUUCUGACGCUGAGGAGCGAAAGUGUGGGGAGCGAACAGG
RNAcentral lists this ribosomal RNA (253 nucleotides) under Nocardioides sp. RNAcentral describes it as "partial 16S ribosomal RNA". It matches the Rfam family "Bacterial small subunit ribosomal RNA", at positions 524 to 776 of the family's 1533-position model. RNAcentral also lists the same sequence under 2 other names. The record is from RNAcentral. Lineage: Bacteria; Bacillati; Actinomycetota; Actinomycetes; Propionibacteriales; Nocardioidaceae.